GGCACAGACACUUGUGCGCAACAUACUCCAGCAGCUGUGAGCUCAACAACCGCGGACGUCCGGAUACCUUACGUAGAUUAGCACGCAGCAACACAAAGCCGUCCUUCAUUCAUUCAUUCAUCAUGAACGUAAUGUCGUCGUGAGCUGUCGUUAUAUAGUUCACUGCCAUCAUUAUGUAGAGCUGCGCGUACGGCAGUAUAUGAGUACAACUACCAUUAGACACCGCUCACUCUGGUGUUCAGCCGUUGCUCGUUGAGAGAAAGUGAGAGCGAGGGAUCGAGGGAGCUAGACGCAAUCACAAGGAAAACGUAUACAACUUCAACCACAGGUGCAGCCGAGUGCAGCCGAAUGCAGCCUAGUAGAGAUCACAGCGACAAACUACGACAGACCAAAAUGCAUUCUCCAGGAGUAACAUGGAGUGCGCUUGGCAAAGUGCUAUUGGGGGCGACACUAGUACUGCUCGCAGUGACCGCUGCCAUGCCGAUGGACGACGCCGGGACCCACGGUGCGAGAGUGAAGCGACAUGGUCCACAAGCAGGCAUAUCGAGUACCAGCGUCCGCGCCCUAUUGUGCCAAUACUCGAGUUACUUCAUAAGCAGUCAUAACUGCGUGUGCUCAGACUCUAGACGCCAGCGGCACCUGCUAGCGGCAGUUACAUGCGGGGCAGCGUGUCGCUAUUAUAUAGGACCGGCCACCCAUCAACUCAGCCGCGUGUCGUCGGAAAUCCCCUGCUCCAACUUAACCGCGAUAGCCAACAAAUACUA
Molecule: long non-coding RNA, 764 nt
Organism: Priapulus caudatus
Lineage: Eukaryota; Metazoa; Priapulida; Priapulimorpha; Priapulimorphida; Priapulidae
Exons: 3
Source: RefSeq, a predicted model, not a curated record